UACGUAGGGGACGAGCGUUGUCCGGAAUUACUGGGCGUAAAGGGCUCGUAGGUGGCCAACUAAGUCAGACGUGAAAUCCCUCGGCUUAACCGGGGAACUGCGUCUGAUACUGGAUGGCUUGAGUUCGGGAGAGGGAUGCGGAAUUCCUGGUGUAGCGGUGAAAUGCGCAGAUAUCAGGAGGAACACCGGUGGCGAAGGCGGGUCUCUGGGCCGAUACUGACGCUGAGGAGCGAAAGCGUGGGGAGCGAACAGG
Molecule: ribosomal RNA, 253 nt
Filed under: uncultured bacterium
Lineage: Bacteria
Description: partial 16S ribosomal RNA
Rfam family: Bacterial small subunit ribosomal RNA
Source: RNAcentral